GAUAGGUGGGAGGCUUUGAAGCGUGGACGCCAGUUCGCGUGGAGCCAUCCUUGAAAUACCACCCUGGCAUGCUUGAGGUUCUAACUCUGGUCCGUAAUCCGGAUCGAGGACAGUGUAUGGUGGGCAGUUUGACUGGGGCGGUCUCCUCCUAAAGAGUAACGGAGGAGUACGAAGGUGCGCUCAGACCGGUCGGAAAUCGGUCGCAGAGUAUAAAGGCAAAAGCGCGCUUGACUGCGAGACAGACACGUCGAGCAGGUACGAAAGUAGGUCUUAGUGAUCCGGUGGUUCUGUAUGGAAGGGCCAUCGCUCAACGGAUAAAAGGUACUCCGGGGAUAACAGGCUGAUACCGCCCAAGAGUUCAUAUCGACGGCGGUGUUUGGCACCUCGAUGUCGGCUCAUCACAUCCUGGGGCUGAAGCCGGUCCCAAGGGUAUGGCUGUUCGCCAUUUAAAGUGGUACGCGAGCUGGGUUUAGAACGUCGUGAGACAGUUCGGUCCCUAUCUGCCGUGGACGUUUGAGAUUUGAGAGGGGCUGCUCCUAGUACGAGAGGACCGGAGUGGACGAACCUCUGGUGUUCCGGUUGUCACGCCAGUGGCAUUGCCGGGUAGCUAUGUUCGGAAAAGAUAACCGCUGAAAGCAUCUAAGCGGGAAACUUGCCUCAAGAUGAGAUCUCACUGGGAACUUGAUUCCCCUGAAGGGCCGUCGAAGACUACGACGUUGAUAGGCUGGGUGUGUAAGCGUUGUGAGGCGUUGAGCUAACCAGUACUAAUUGCCCGUGAGGCUUGACCAU
Molecule: ribosomal RNA, 789 nt
Filed under: Pseudomonas aeruginosa
Lineage: Bacteria; Pseudomonadati; Pseudomonadota; Gammaproteobacteria; Pseudomonadales; Pseudomonadaceae
Description: partial 23S ribosomal RNA
Rfam family: Bacterial large subunit ribosomal RNA
Source: RNAcentral